AGUGAACGCUGGCGGUAGGCCUAACACAUGCAAGUCGAACGGCAGCACAGUAAGAGCUUGCUCUUACGGGUGGCGAGUGGCGGACGGGUGAGGAAUACAUCGGAAUCUACUUUUUCGUGGGGGAUAACGUAGGGAAACUUACGCUAAUACCGCAUACGACCUACGGGUGAAAGCAGGGGAUCUUCGGACCUUGCGCGAUUGAAUGAGCCGAUGUCGGAUUAGCUAGUUGGCGGGGUAAAGGCCCACCAAGGCGACGAUCCGUAGCUGGUCUGAGAGGAUGAUCAGCAACACGGGAACGGAGACACGGUCCAGACUCCUACGGGAGGCAGCGGUGGGGAAUAUUGGACAAUGGGCGCAAGCCUGAUCCAGCCAUACCGCGUGGGUGAAGAAGGCCUUCGGGUUGUAAAGCCCUUUUGUUGGGAAAGAAAAGCAGCAGGUUAAUACCCCGCUGUUCGGACGGUACCCAAAGAAUAAGCACCGGCUAACUUCGU
This 491-nucleotide ribosomal RNA is filed under the name uncultured bacterium. RNAcentral describes it as "partial 16S ribosomal RNA". It matches the Rfam family "Bacterial small subunit ribosomal RNA", at positions 29 to 506 of the family's 1533-position model. The record is from RNAcentral.